Molecule: long non-coding RNA, 435 nt
Organism: Musca domestica (house fly)
Lineage: Eukaryota; Metazoa; Arthropoda; Insecta; Diptera; Muscidae
Exons: 2
Source: RefSeq, a predicted model, not a curated record
CAUACCAAAAAUACAAUACAGCUUGAGAACAAUAUUAUAAAAAUAUAAUUUUUCAACAAUGCUUGAGAAACACUUAUGUUCCACAAACAUUUCUCAAAUCUGUCCCUUGUUGACAAAUUAGUUUUGAUUUUUUGUGAAAAUUGUCAGCAAGAAAUUAUUUUCUUUGGCAAAAAACAAAAUCACGCGAAUUUAGGACCCAUUUGUGGACCGAACCCUUAAGAUUGGAAGCAUCAAAAAAGUUGCAGGAAUUCAAUGAAUGUGUAGUCUUAGUGGAAGAGAUGCAGAAGUUCAAAUAAGGGAGAAGAAAGCGUCAGGGUAUCAAGGCCACAUGCGGCAGUGACUACUGGGAUGUCCAUCAAGAAAAAACGUUAAAAAUGAUUAAAAACUAAAAAAAAUAAUAUUUUAUACUAUUACAAAAAUAAGCUUAUUAUAAUA